This 1461-nucleotide ribosomal RNA is filed under the name Weissella confusa. Its description in RNAcentral is "bacterial SSU rRNA". It matches the Rfam family "Bacterial small subunit ribosomal RNA". The record is from RNAcentral. Lineage: Bacteria; Bacillati; Bacillota; Bacilli; Lactobacillales; Lactobacillaceae.
GUGAAAGGCGGCGUGCCUAAUACAUGCAGUUCGAACGCUUUGUGGUUCAACUGAUUUGAAGAAGCUUGCUCAGAUAUGACGAUGGACAUUGCAAAGAGUGGCGAACGGGUGAGUAACACGUGGGAAACCUACCUCUUAGCAGGGGAUAACAUUUGGAAACAGAUGCUAAUACCGUAUAACAAUGACAACCGCAUGGUUGUUAUUUAAAAGAUGGUUCUGCUAUCACUAAGAGAUGGUCCCGCGGUGCAUUAGCUAGUUGGUAAGGUAAUGGCUUACCAAGGCGAUGAUGCAUAGCCGAGUUGAGAGACUGAUCGGCCACAAUGGGACUGAGACACGGCCCAUACUCCUACGGGAGGCAGCAGUAGGGAAUCUUCCACAAUGGGCGAAAGCCUGAUGGAGCAACGCCGCGUGUGUGAUGAAGGGUUUCGGCUCGUAAAACACUGUUGUAAGAGAAGAAUGACAUUGAGAGUAACUGUUCAAUGUGUGACGGUAUCUUACCAGAAAGGAACGGCUAAAUACGUGCCAGCAGCCGCGGUAAUACGUAUGUUCCAAGCGUUAUCCGGAUUUAUUGGGCGUAAAGCGAGCGCAGACGGUUAUUUAAGUCUGAAGUGAAAGCCCUCAGCUCAACUGAGGAAUUGCUUUGGAAACUGGAUGACUUGAGUGCAGUAGAGGAAAGUGGAACUCCAUGUGUAGCGGUGAAAUGCGUAGAUAUAUGGAAGAACACCAGUGGCGAAGGCGGCUUUCUGGACUGUAACUGACGUUGAGGCUCGAAAGUGUGGGUAGCAAACAGGAUUAGAUACCCUGGUAGUCCACACCGUAAACGAUGAGUGCUAGGUGUUUUGAGGGUUUCCGCCCUUAAGUGCCGCAGCUAACGCAUUAAGCACUCCGCCUGGGGAGUACGACCGCAAGGUUGAAACUCAAAGGAAUUGACGGGGACCCGCACAAGCGGUGGAGCAUGUGGUUUAAUUCGAAGCAACGCGAAGAACCUUACCAGGUCUUGACAUCCCUUGACAACUCCCGAGAUGGAGCGUUCCCUUCGGGGACAAGGUGACAGGUGGGUGCAUGGUUGUCGUCAGCUCGUGUCGUGAGAUGUUGGGUUAAGUCCCGCAACGAGCGCAACCCUUAUUACUAGUUGCCAGCAUUCAGUUGGGCACUCUAGUGAGACUGCCGGUGACAACCGGAGGAAAGGUGGGGAUGACGUCAAAUCAUCAUGCCCCUUAUGACCUGGGCUACACACGUGCUACAAUGGCGUAUACAACGAGUUGCCAACCCGCGAGGGUGAGCUAAUCUCUUAAAGUACGUCUCAUUUCGGAUUGUGAGGCUGCACUCGCCCAACUGAAAUCCGAAUCCCUUGUAAUCCGGAUAACACAGCCCCGGUGAAUAACUUCCCGGGUCUUGUGACACCCGCCGCUCACCCUGGGAAUUUGUACCCCCCAAACCGGUGGGGUAACCUUCGGGAAA